RNAcentral lists this ribosomal RNA (253 nucleotides) under uncultured bacterium. RNAcentral describes it as "partial 16S ribosomal RNA". It matches the Rfam family "Bacterial small subunit ribosomal RNA", at positions 524 to 776 of the family's 1533-position model. The record is from RNAcentral.
UACGAGUACCCCAAGCGUUAUCCGGAUUUACUGGGCGUAAAGAGUUUGUAGGCGGUUUGGUAAGUCAGCGGUCAAAUCCGGGAGCUCAACUUCCGGGCUGCCGUUGAAACUCCCAAGCUUGAGGCUGGAAGAGGUAGAUGGAAUUGCCGGUGUAGGGGUAAAAUCCGUUAAUAUCGGCAAGAACACCAAAUGCGAAAGCUUUCUACUAGUACAGUCCUGACGCUGAGAAACGAAAGCGUGGGGAGCGAAUGGG